UUGCAACCCUUGCAUUCUCUUCAACUUCUUCCUUCCGCUUCUUAUUCUAAUCCUCUAUCCCAAAUCGUAAAACCCUGUAAACAUUACAGUUUCUACUCCACCUUCUUCUUUCUUCCUUCUUCCAUUUCUUCUUGGUGAUUCCUUCUUCCAUUUCUUCUUGGUGAUUCCUUCUUCUUCCUUCUCCCAUCCAUUCUUCUUCAUUUCUCUGUCUAGUUCCAUCCGUCAAGCCUCUGUUUCCAGAAACUCCUUCCAGUCUCC
This 258-nucleotide long non-coding RNA is filed under the name Lupinus angustifolius (narrow-leaved blue lupine). Its description in RNAcentral is "long non-coding RNA (LANG_LNC002560)". Lineage: Eukaryota; Viridiplantae; Streptophyta; Magnoliopsida; Fabales; Fabaceae. The record is from RNAcentral.